UAUACAUGCAAGUCGAGCGAAUCUGAGGGAGCUUGCUCCCAAAGAUUAGCGGCGGACGGGUGAGUAACACGUGGGCAACCUGCCUGUAAGACUGGGAUAACUCCGGGAAACCGGGGCUAAUACCGGAUAAUAUCUAUUUAUACAUAUAAUUAGAUUGAAAGAUGGUUCUGCUAUCACUUACAGAUGGGCCCGCGGCGCAUUAGCUAGUUGGUGAGGUAACGGCUCACCAAGGCGACGAUGCGUAGCCGACCUGAGAGGGUGAUCGGCCACACUGGGACUGAGACACGGCCCAGACUCCUACGGGAGGCAGCAGUAGGGAAUCUUCCGCAAUGGACGAAAGUCUGACGGAGCAACGCCGCGUGAGUGAUGAAGGUUUUCGGAUCGUAAAACUCUGUUGUUAGGGAAGAACAAGUACCGGAGUAACUGCCGGUACCUUGACGGUACCUAACCAGAAAGCCACGGCUAACUACGUGCCAGCAGCCGCGGUAAUACGUAGGUGGCAAGCGUUGUCCGGAAUUAUUGGGCGUAAAGCGCGCGCAGGCGGUUCCUUAAGUCUGAUGUGAAAGCCCACGGCUCAACCGUGGAGGGUCAUUGGAAACUGGGGAACUUGAGUGCAGAAGAGGAAAGUGGAAUUCCAAGUGUAGCGGUGAAAUGCGUAGA
This 660-nucleotide ribosomal RNA is filed under the name Bacillus sp. JSM 081051. RNAcentral's name for it is "bacterial SSU rRNA". It matches the Rfam family "Bacterial small subunit ribosomal RNA", at positions 50 to 694 of the family's 1533-position model. Lineage: Bacteria; Bacillati; Bacillota; Bacilli; Caryophanales; Bacillaceae. The record is from RNAcentral.